AGUUUCUGAGCUUAGAAUUGUUGAUAAGCCCCACCACAUAACCCUUAGGACCAAAGAAUGGUGGACCAAGCUCAAAAUAGGACAAUUUCAUCACUGUCGGUCCAACUUACCGACUAUCGAUUCCUGUCAAUCCGAACAACAGUCUUGCCAAUCUGACCGACAGCUCGCGUUAAGUUAUAAAAUUAUUCAGGGUUGGAGCCCCCUCGUUGUGUAGCGUUGCCCGGCUUCGAGCGGAAGUCAAGCACGAGGCGCAGCGUUGCUAGAGCCUUGGAUUCGGAUCGCAUUCUGCUGCCCUAAGCAAUCGUUGAAUCCCAAGAUUUUUAGGCCUAGGAACCACUUCCUACAAGUCGCGCCCGAAUCAAUGGUGGAGCCGAGGAACCCUAACCCUAAGAAAGAAGAUCGCUGUAAUCAAGCUUCCUUUACAUCUUUGACUCGACAUCUGAAGAUAAGUAUCAUGUAUUUAUUUUAUUUCAUUUUGGGUUUUUUCUGAGAUAGCCUGAAAAUUUCAGCGGAUUAUUUUAUGGUUAGCUCGUGAAAAUCACAAAUUGGGUUUUGUUGUGAUAGCCCGUGAAAAUCAUAAGAACUGUAUCAGUUUGUUAAGGUGAUCCCGUGAAAACCUUGAAAUAGUGAAAGCUAAAAUUACGAGGGUCAUGAUUUUGGGAGUGGAGUAUGUGUGGGUUUAAGCACUGAACUACUAUAACUCCUUAAGCAUUGGUUGCGAUUGAUUAUAUCUUUUAUUGUGAAUUCUUUAUUUAUUUUUAUCUAUUACUAGUUUAAAAGUCUGAUCUCAAAGAUGUCAUGAAAUAAGGUUUCAAUACUCAAGCAAUUGAGAGUAAUUGUUUAUUUAUUCUGCAUUAUAUCGAAAUAUUUAGUAUUGUCCCAUUCAUCCCCCCUCUAGGACAUUUAUAACUCGUCCUUUCAAGUGGUAUCAGAGCGGGUUGCUCUUUUUGGGAUUUACCUCCUAGAGCUAGAUCCAGAGCUAUUAAAUGUUAAUUUUUGAUAUUUUAUCUAUUACCAGGCCACCUCCCUUUGAUGGCUCAAACUAUUCUUAUUGGAAAGCCAGAAUGAGGAUUUUUCUCAAAUAUAUUAAUGAAAGUGUGUGACAAGUCACCAUAACAUAAUGGAUCUCUCUUAUGAUGGAAGUAGUAGUUGAAAAUGGAACCACGUCCAUGAAAGAAAUUGCUUAUACUUUUCGGACGACUGUUCAGAAAAUUGAAAACAGUGCUAAUGUAAAGGCCUUAAUUGUAAUAACAUGUGUUCUAUCACCAGAUAAAUUCAAAAGAAUUAUUUCUUAUGGUACAACUAAACAAGCAUGGGAUAUUCUUGAAAUGACACAUGAAGGAACUAACAUUGUCAAAAAAUCUCAGAUCUAAAUCAUCACAACCAAAUUUCAGGAAAUUUGUAUGGAAGAAACUGAGUCAUUCAUGAAUUUUUAUACGAAACUAAAUGACAUAGUUAAUUCUAUGUAGAGUCUUGGAGAUAGAAUCUCUGAAAACAAGGUUUGUGCAAAAAUACUGCGAUCACUUCCUGACAAGUUCAAUUCAAAAGUUACUACUAUACAAGAAUUGAGGGAUACCGAUACUUUAAAGGUUGAGGAAUUAGUUGGAUCUCUACAAACACACGAGCUAAAUUUUAAAGCUCCUAAAAACAAGUCCACAGCUCCCAAAUCCUCUAAAUAUAAAUCCAAAGGUACAAAUGUAAAUUUUGAUGAUGAUGAGAAUGAGGAUAAUAUGAUAACGUUAGCUAAAAUGUUUUAUAGAAUUUUUAAAAAUAAAAAUAGAACAAAUUUUCAAGAACCUUUUGACAAGAGAAAAGGAAAUUCAAAAUUUUGAAAAUCAUAAUUUAAAGACACCCAAUGCUUCAACUAUUCUAAAUUUGGGAAUCUAGCUUCAAUGUCCUAACAAGGAUAAAUCUAAAAGAAGAGGUGUGAUUUCCACUUGGGAUGAAUCAUUGGAAUCUAAAUGUUUCAUUCUCCACUUCUACUUCUUCAGCUCGCCCAUGCUUCCUUCAGCUAACUCAUCAUCUCAACUCACUUGUAAGUAGUUUUAUUUCAUUUUCCUUCAAGAUUUAGGUUGUCCAUUCCUAGAUUUUCAAGUUUGUAUAGUUUUUCUUCAUCUUGAAACCCUUUUUCUUGUUAGGUUUUCCUUAAAAUCUAAUAUACAUUUUCCUUGCAUUUUUCUUGUGCUAUUAAAUGGAAGGAAGAUUUAAAAUAACUACAUGUAAGGCACGAGCUGGUUCAUCUUCCCGAUCGAUCCCUCUUUGUGUACAGUCAUUACGUUUACCGAAGGAUGACCCAAAAAAUAUUCAUGAUUUUUGCCCAAGAAGUAUUAUCAUAGAAAGAUCAGUGAAUGUAGGCCAUAUCGCUUGUUUUGGUCUCGUAGAAAUCCUUUCCGAGUUUGGAUGGGAAAAGAUUUUGCAUUAGGGUGGGAUGGCUUAUCGGUCCGUUGUGUAAGACAUGUUUGCCUCAAUUUGUGAUAUCUCUCUUAAUGAAUUAACUUUCUCAAUUAAAUUUUUAGAGGAGACAAUCAUCAUUAUGCCUUCCACUAUUUCUGCUUUAAUGGACAUUGACAUAGUAGAUGAUGGAAUACGUAUCGCAACGCUUUCAGAGAAAAUGACUAACACUGAAAACAAGAGAUUAUAAUGGCAUUGUGUGGUUUCAAUGCGAAAUGGUGAUCUGGUAACAACUUGCCCUCCAACAAAUUAUUUUCCAAAUACCCCAUCCUGCAUCGCAUCUUUACAUUAAAUGUGUAUCCUAGAGCUGGGAAUAAGACUGAUCUUACUCCCUUUAUUCUUCGUGUCUUCCAUGUCAUUGUCACGGGUAUACGUAUUUGUUUACCUUCCUUGAUUUGUUAUGUUAAUAUUCAAUUUCGUUUGCAUCCUAAGCAUAGGUCGAUUACAUUUAGACAUCUUAUGUCUUCUCUUGCAUUUCAUUAUAAUG
This is a long non-coding RNA of Magnolia sinica, 2938 nucleotides long. RefSeq lists it as uncharacterized. The transcript has 3 exons. NCBI's taxonomy places the organism in Eukaryota, Viridiplantae, Streptophyta, Magnoliopsida, Magnoliales, Magnoliaceae. The record is from RefSeq and is a predicted model, not a curated record.